CUUCUUCUGCCUUUUUUUUUAAUCAAAAGUUUGACUGACCGACUGAAAAAACUAAAAGUAAAGGAAAAAAAUCGGAUGAAAUUAGAAGAACAAAACUCUACUUCUCUUCCUUUCUUUCGUUCUUGAGAUAAUUCUAAAAAGCCUUCACCGCCAUCUCUUCAUGAUCACCGAUCGUUUCCUAAUCACAACUGCCACCGGUCAUCUGUCCUUCAACCUCUAGCCUCUGCCGUUGUAACACGCGAGAUUUCAAGGCUCAAUCAACACGCGAGAUGAACUGGAGCUGAAUUUGAUAAUUUUUAGAAUUUGAAGCUAAUUAUAUUAGUACCACUUUUGUUUGGAGGAGAAUACUAGCAGUUGUAAAGGCUGUUAUAGCUGAUUCAUUACGCUGAAUUGAUUUGUGACUUGAAUUUCAGUAUUUUUUAUGGGUAGUUGACUAUUUAUUGAGUUUGUUAGCAAUUUGGUGAUGUUCACAAACAUCAAAAUCUAAAUGUAAGUUGGCGACAAUGGGGUGAUGAUACAAACACCGAAAUCAAUCUGGUCUACGCACCUCGUUUAUAUCAUUUGAAGUACAAUGGUGAACGAACUACUGCUAAUCUGGUAAACAUUUUCUUGUGAUCUAGUUGUAUUCGGAUCUGUGAUUUCUUGUGCAUCACCGAUGAAAUUCUCGUAUGUAUAUACAGUAGGCGAACUUACAAGUGAAUAAUCAAUGCCAUAGUUUGUUUCAUUUUGAUAAAGAUGAACACAAUGCUACUUUGAAUGAGUUACU
RNAcentral lists this long non-coding RNA (766 nucleotides) under Coffea arabica (coffee). RNAcentral's name for it is "long non-coding RNA (CARA_LNC006746)". The record is from RNAcentral. Lineage: Eukaryota; Viridiplantae; Streptophyta; Magnoliopsida; Gentianales; Rubiaceae.